AGCUUUGCGCAGUGGCAGUAUCGUAGCCAAUGAGGUUUAUCCGAGGCGCGAUUAUUGCUAAUUGAAAAAUUUUCCAAAAUAUAGUAAUUAAGAAAAUUACUCCCUUAUCACAAACCCUUGUAGCAGAGCACAUCU
Small nuclear RNA from Nomascus leucogenys (northern white-cheeked gibbon), 135 nucleotides. It matches the Rfam family "U4 spliceosomal RNA". Rfam says of the family: U4 small nuclear RNA (U4 snRNA) is a component of the major U2-dependent spliceosome. NCBI's taxonomy places the organism in Eukaryota, Metazoa, Chordata, Mammalia, Primates, Hylobatidae. The record is from Rfam.